This is a long non-coding RNA of Bubalus bubalis (water buffalo), 1860 nucleotides long. RefSeq lists it as uncharacterized. Lineage: Eukaryota; Metazoa; Chordata; Mammalia; Artiodactyla; Bovidae. The transcript has 2 exons. The record is from RefSeq and is a predicted model, not a curated record.
GAGGCGGGAGCCUGAGGAGACGAAAGUAGCGGCGCGGCUGAGGGCAAGGAGAAGAUAGGGGAGGAGGCGGAGGAGAGGGAAGUGAGGCAGGGCCUGGAGCGGGGUCGGGACAGGUUGCGGACCCGCGAGGAGGGCAGAGACCUGCCGGGGCGCGGGAGCGCGGGAGACAGGACUGCAACUUUGCCUCCGCCCGCCGUGUCACCUGCCCGGCUUCUCCCCGCCGCGACCGCGGCACUUCGCGCAGGCCGGACGUGCCGGCUGAGCUCGCUUCAUUUAGUCAAACGCUGGGACUGCGGGGCGGCGGCUGAGCCACGGAAACUUCCCCAAGCCUGCGAGUCACCCGCGGCCCCGCCUCGAGGCUCGGCUCAGGUCCCCGGCUGCUAUCCCUGCCCCAGGCGCCCGGCGGUGGAUGUGGCCUGGAUUUCGGGUCACCACUCGUUCGGGGGACACCCUUCCCUCCCCGCCUCCCCAGAGACCGCUGCUCGGGGCCCUCCCUAAAGGCUGGGGACUGUGUUCGUUUCCCACCGCCACUCCACCUGGAUGUACCGAACUACAGGAAACCCAAUGAAGUUCUGGCUUUCCCAAAGACUACUUGAGAUGCUUUUCGUGACAGACAUCAUAUUCUUCCCAAACAUAUUCUUUGGCGCCUGACUUCGCUGGAACCCUUGGAGAGUGUUUAGUCUCCCAGCUGGGUGACAGCGCUCCGGGGAGGGGCUUAAGACCUCACAAGGGCUGCCUGACGCCGCCUGUCCUUGGAUGGUUGCAAAACUCAGUCCUGAGUCAAGGUCCAAAUUAAAGGUUCGAUGUCCCUUUCAGUUUAGUUCCUCUGGCAUUUUCACGCAGCAGAAGCGCUCACAAGCAAUUCAGAGCGUUCCACUAAGAUGACCGCCCAUUCUGGUGUUAUUCAACAUGCCAGCGUUCAUUGCAGCUGUCUUUGGCCAGUGAACAAUCGCACCCUCAUGAGUGGGAGUUGUUUUAUACUAUUUCAAAGAGCUCCGGGGGUAAAUUGUUUCCCAUCCGAAGGUUUAAAUUUAACAGAGAAAGAGCCAAUGAUAGAAGUUGCAAGAUUUGGUUGGUUCCUUGUUGCUGUUCUGGAUUUGAAACACAGGGAUUUUUCUGUGAAUUGCUGAAGACAAAUUCACAAACAGAACAACAACUGGCUUCUGCUUAAUUGCAGGGAUAAGAUAUGUAAAUUAGAUGCUGUGCAUAUUUGAGUGAUAGCAUCCACACACCUCUGAGCUUCAGGCCCUUUCUCAACUUAUAAUCACCUUAUUCAGGAGAAAUUCCUUAUCUCACCCCUCAUUUACUUAGUUAAGUAAAGAAAAAACAUACUCAUGCAGAAGAGAUGAGAAAGUCAACACCCAGAAAGUGACUGAAAUAUGCUUCUUGUCAUGGGUCCAAAAACCCAUAAAAAGACCUCUUCCAUCUUAAUCUCCAGUCAGGGAUUGACAUGUGCUUGCAGGCACACACAGGCCCACAACGAGCAGCAGUCCAGCAGAACACAGCAGGGCAGCUUCGAAGAAAAACUCAAGCCUCUGAAAAACUGGCCUCAACCCCCUUGAGAGAUCUACCAAUACUCACAAGAGCUCUUGUCUGAGCACAGAUGCAAGAUGAAUUUUACACAGUGGUGGAGCUUGUGCACGAUUUCUAAUAAGAUAUUGGCAGUUUUGCCCGGAGAGAAUAUAAUCUUUAACACUUGCACUAAUUUAGCAAUAAACCAGGCAUUUAUUAAGAAAAAGUCAGUAUCCUUUCUAUCUUUUCAAAAGAAAGAAGAGGGAAAACAAAUGUGUUUAUUUUAGCAACAAAAUAAGACAAGACUAAUCAGAAUGCAGUUUACUGGUAAGACAAACAUCAUAUACA